RNAcentral lists this ribosomal RNA (427 nucleotides) under uncultured bacterium. RNAcentral's name for it is "bacterial SSU rRNA". It matches the Rfam family "Bacterial small subunit ribosomal RNA", at positions 355 to 774 of the family's 1533-position model. The record is from RNAcentral.
UGGGGAAUUUUGGACAAUGGGCGCAAGCCUGAUCCAGCAAUGCCGCGUGCAGGAUGAAGGCCUUCGGGUUGUAAACCGCUUUUGUCAGGGAAGAAACGAGUUUCUCUAAUACAGAGACUUAAUGACGGUACCUGAAGAAUAAGCACCGGCUAACUACGUGCCAGCAGCCGCGGUAAUACGUAGGGUGCGAGCGUUAAUCGGAAUUACUGGGCGUAAAGCGUGCGCAGGCGGUUAUAUAAGACAGAUGUGAAAUCCCCGGGCUCAACCUGGGACCUGCAUUUGUGACUGUAUAGCUAGAGUACGGUAGAGGGGGAUGGAAUUCCGCGUGUAGCAGUGAAAUGCGUAGAUAUGCGGAGGAACGCCGAUGGCGAAGGCAAUCCCCUGGACCUGUACUGACGCUCAUGCACGAAAGCGUGGGGAGCAAACA